AGAGUUUGAUCAUGGCUCAGAUUGAACGCUGGCGGCAGGCCUAACACAUGCAAGUCGAGCGGUAGCACAGAGAGCUUGCUCUCGGGUGACGAGCGGCGGACGGGUGAGUAAUGUCUGGGAAACUGCCUGAUGGAGGGGGAUAACUACUGGAAACGGUAGCUAAUACCGCAUAACGUCGCAAGACCAAAGUGGGGGACCUUCGGGCCUCAUGCCAUCAGAUGUGCCCAGAUGGGAUUAGCUAGUAGGUGGGGUAAUGGCUCACCUAGGCGACGAUCCCUAGCUGGUCUGAGAGGAUGACCAGCCACACUGGAACUGAGACACGGUCCAGACUCCUACGGGAGGCAGCAGUGGGGAAUAUUGCACAAUGGGCGCAAGCCUGAUGCAGCCAUGCCGCGUGUGUGAAGAAGGCCUUCGGGUUGUAAAGCACUUUCAGCGGGGAGGAAGGCGNNNNNNNNNUAAGGUUAAUAACCUUGGCGAUUGACGUUACCCGCAGAAGAAGCACCGGCUAACUCCGUGCCAGCAGCCGCGGUAAUACGGAGGGUGCAAGCGUUAAUCGGAAUUACUGGGCGUAAAGCGCACGCAGGCGGUCUGUCAAGUCGGAUGUGAAAUCCCCGGGCUCAACCUGGGAACUGCAUUCGAAACUGGCAGGCUAGAGUCUUGUAGAGGGGGGUAGAAUUCCAGGUGUAGCGGUGAAAUGCGUAGAGAUCUGGAGGAAUACCGGUGGCGAAGGCGGCCCCCUGGACAAAGACUGACGCUCAGGUGCGAAAGCGUGGGGAGCAAACAGGAUUAGAUACCCUGGUAGUCCACGCCGUAAACGAUGUCGAUUUGGAGGUUGUGCCCUUGAGGCGUGGCUUCCGGAGCUAACGCGUUAAAUCGACCGCCUGGGGAGUACGGCCGCAAGGUUAAAACUCAAAUGAAUUGACGGGGGCCCGCACAAGCGGUGGAGCAUGUGGUUUAAUUCGAUGCAACGCGAAGAACCUUACCUGGUCUUGACAUCCACAGAACUUUCCAGAGAUGGAUUGGUGCCUUCGGGAACUGUGAGACAGGUGCUGCAUGGCUGUCGUCAGCUCGUGUUGUGAAAUGUUGGGUUAAGUCCCGCAACGAGCGCAACCCUUAUCCUUUGUUGCCAGCGGUUAGGCCGGGAACUCAAAGGAGACUGCCAGUGAUAAACUGGAGGAAGGUGGGGAUGACGUCAAGUCAUCAUGGCCCUUACGACCAGGGCUACACACGUGCUACAAUGGCAUAUACAAAGAGAAGCGACCUCGCGAGAGCAAGCGGACCUCAUAAAGUAUGUCGUAGUCCGGAUUGGAGUCUGCAACUCGACUCCAUGAAGUCGGAAUCGCUAGUAAUCGUAGAUCAGAAUGCUACGGUGAAUACGUUCCCGGGCCUUGUACACACCGCCCGUCACACCAUGGGAGUGGGUUGCAAAAGAAGUAGGUAGCUUAACCUUCGGGAGGGCGCUUACCACUUUGUGAUUCAUGACUGGGGUGAAGUCGUAACAAGGUAACCGUAGGGGAACCUGCGGUUGGAUCACCU
RNAcentral lists this ribosomal RNA (1536 nucleotides) under Klebsiella pneumoniae. RNAcentral describes it as "bacterial SSU rRNA". It matches the Rfam family "Bacterial small subunit ribosomal RNA". The record is from RNAcentral. Lineage: Bacteria; Pseudomonadati; Pseudomonadota; Gammaproteobacteria; Enterobacterales; Enterobacteriaceae.